RNAcentral lists this ribosomal RNA (450 nucleotides) under uncultured Glomus. RNAcentral describes it as "SSU rRNA". It matches the Rfam family "Eukaryotic small subunit ribosomal RNA", at positions 544 to 998 of the family's 1831-position model. The record is from RNAcentral. Lineage: Eukaryota; Fungi; Glomeromycota; Glomeromycetes; Glomerales; Glomeraceae.
ACAAUUGGAGGGCAAGUCUGGUGCCAGCAGCCGCGGUAAUUCCAGCUCCAAUAGCGUAUAUUAAAGUUGUUGCAGUUAAAAAGCUCGUAGUUGAAUUUCGGGGUCAGUAGUUUGGUCAUGCCACAGGUAUGUACUGAUCUUACUGAUUCCUCCUUCCUGAUGAACCGUAAUGCCAUUAAUUUGGUGUUGCGGGGAAACUGGACUGUUACUUUGAAAAAAUUAGAGUGUUUAAAGCAGGCUAACGCUUGAAUACAUUAGCAUGGAAUAAUGAAAUAGGACGUUCGAUCCUAUUUUGUUGGUUUCUAGGAUUGACGUAAUGAUUAAUAGGGAUAGCUGGGGGCAUUAGUAUUCAAUUGUCAGAGGUGAAAUUCUUGGAUUUAUUGAAGACUAACUACUGCGAAAGCAUUUGCCAAGGAUGUUUUCAUUAAUCAAGAACGAAAGUUAGGGGAU